This 368-nucleotide ribosomal RNA is filed under the name uncultured organism. RNAcentral's name for it is "bacterial LSU rRNA". It matches the Rfam family "Bacterial large subunit ribosomal RNA", at positions 2099 to 2465 of the family's 2925-position model. The record is from RNAcentral.
CUUUACUGUAGCCUGGUAUUGGGUUCGGGCUUUGACUGCGCAGGAUAGGUGGGAGACUGAGAAGUGUGCCUUGUGGGGCACAUAGAGUCAACGGUGAGAUACCACUCUGUCAAAGCUAGAAUUCUAACCUUCAGCCGUGAUCCGGCGGAGGAACAGUUUCAGGUGGGCAGUUUGACUGGGGCGGUCGCCUCCUAAAAGGUAACGGAGGCGCGCAAAGGUGUUCUCAGGCUGGUUGGAAAUCAGCCGUAGAGUGUAAAGGCAGAAGAACGCUUGACUGUGAGAGUGACAACUCAAGCAGGGUGGAAACACGGCCUUAGUGAUCCGACGGUAUGCGCGUGGAAGUGCCGUCGCUCAACGGAUAAAAGUUA